This 421-nucleotide ribosomal RNA is filed under the name Simo hirticornis. RNAcentral describes it as "SSU rRNA". It matches the Rfam family "Eukaryotic small subunit ribosomal RNA", at positions 441 to 825 of the family's 1831-position model. Lineage: Eukaryota; Metazoa; Arthropoda; Insecta; Coleoptera; Brachyceridae. The record is from RNAcentral.
UUACCCACUCCCGGCACGGGGAGGUAGUGACGAAAAAUAACGAUACGGGACUCAUCCGAGGCCCCGUAAUCGGAAUGAGUACACUCUAAACCCUUUAACGAGGAUCAAUUGGAGGGCAAGUCUGGUGCCAGCAGCCGCGGUAAUUCCAGCUCCAAUAGCGUAUAUUAAAGUUGUUGCGGUUAAAAAGCUCGUAGUCGAAUUUGUGUCUCGUGCCGCUGGUUCAUCGUCCGCGGUGUUAACUGGCGAGUCGCGAGACGUCCUGCCGGUGGGCUUAGCUCGCAAGGGCGGCCCAACUCAAUCCUGCCGCGGUGCUCUUCAUUGAGUGUCGAGGUGGGCCGGCACGUUUACUUUGAACAAAUUAGAGUGCUUAAAGCAGGCUAAAAAUUCGCCUGAAUACUGUGUGCAUGGAAUAAUGGAAUAG